GGAAACGACAUUAGACAAAAUGAAAUUGUAAUUUACAUCAUCAGAAUGUUGAUGAUUGACGUAAAUGGUGUUAGAUAAGGAGAAAAGGGCAAUCUCUUUUGUCGUCAAACAGUGACAAGAUUGAGUUAACAACAAGUAAGUAUUGUAAAUUAUCUUAUAAUGUAUAAAGUCAAAAAUAGUACAUUACAUUUUUUUUUAUCUUACUAAAACAUGUAAUAUCGGAGAAAUACUCAUUAUUGCGAAUAUCAAUGAAUGUCAGUUAAAAAAAGAGUGUACAUUUUUAUUAGAAAUUCUUUGCUCAUAAAAAAAAUAAAAUAUGUAAUGGCUGCCUUACAUUUUUUUAAACCGUAUUGAAUUGAAAUGGCGUGCCUCUUUCUUUCAUCGGGUAACAAAUAAAAAAAUGAAAAAAUAUCUUGCAUAAAAAGUUUAAAAGCUAGUUCUUGAAACUGAUACUAAAUAAAAAAAAAAUAAUAAAAAAAAAAAGAAAUUAUCUGGUUUCCUUUUUUGAGCAAGAAAAUACUACAUCUUUCGAAGCACCUGUUAUGUGUCUCAAUUUUUGUAUGAAAUUUAUGUUUUUAUUCUAUUGUAUGUUUGUGCAGAAACGGUGAUUGUUUCUAUUUUGUUUUCUUUAAAUUAUAAUAUUCAAAAAAUUGUUUAUACACAUAAACACAAUACCAAAUUUAAUUUGAUUUUAUAAUUCAUUCACAUUUCGAUUUUGUUUUUCAUCAGAGACGAUCGUUGCUUUCUUUUUACAUUGAUGCUCGAUUCCAUAUACAUAAUAUAUAUAUAUCUUAACAGUUAUAGUACGGCGGCUUUGUAAAAAAAUGUGCACAUCCUGCUACUAGUAUGAAAUUUGGAAUAGACCUUCCUCGACUAUUACUCUUUUAUUUCAGAUAGGGAGACAUUUGAAAAAAAAUGUCUCACUUCCGGUAAAAUCCAAAAUGGCGGACAUUAUUAUAUAUAUUAUUGUCAUUGAUUUUUAUAUAUUUUUAGGCUAUUAAAAUGAGGUUAUUGAUUGCUGUAAUUUUACUCUCUGUCUGCUUCACAGGUAAUGUCAUAUCAAACAUAAAACAAAAUUUUAAAUUCACAAUAUUUUCAAUACAACAGUGGCUUAUAUCACAAAACGUAUACGCAGUGCUUGGAUUACAAAAUUUGCACUCGAAACAAUAAAUUUAGAAAACUUUUGAUUGGUUGAUUUCUGAGUCUUAGUAGGAGAAUCGUUCUCGUGACCAUGAUGGGCGAUCGGCAUUAUUUUGCCGAUAUUGGUCCUUAUAUUUUCUUAAGAUGCACCGAACACGUAGCAAUUCGUGCUUUUAUAGUAUGUUUAGCAAACCGUUUUGUUACUUACAUAAAAGAGUUAUUAGUUGCGGAAUGUAUACAUAAUCACACAUGAUAGGUCGGAAUAGGACCGUUAAAUGUGAGGCUUGCGUAAUUGCAUGCAGUUGAGAAUCAUGCUAUCUUAAACGUUAAUGCAUCCAUGAAACAGCCUUUUGUUGUGUUCGUAUGUAGCCUGUUGUAAAGCAAUAUGUUUGUCCUUAUUCAGCUAAGCCUAAGUAUUACGUACAGUCUAAAUUCUUGACCAUUAUCUCGGUCAACACCUUUGAGAAUCUAUUUAUUGCACCUAUUGUUCUGGCCAAAGAUAUGCAUGGACUAUUUGUCAAUUGACGUUAAAAAGCAAAAUCACAAAAAUACUUAACUCCGAGGAAAAUUCAAAACGGAAAGUCCCUAAUCAAAUGGCAAAAUCAAAAGAUAAAACACAUCAAACGAAUGGACAAUUACUACUGUCGUAUCUAUUCCUGACCUGGUACAGGCAUUUUCAAAUGUAGAAAAUGGUGGAUUGAACCUGGUAAAUAAACAGACACCAAUCUAUCAAUCAAUCAUUUGAUUAUACAUAUUUGGGCAGAUUGGCGAGUUUUGGGUUUAAUCUUUGGAUUAAUUAUAAAUGAAAACAAGAAGACGUGUUAGUAUCGCCUAUGAUACAACUCUCCACUAGCGAUCGAAUGAAAAAUACAGUAAAAAAAAUAGAACAGCCAUGCAUUUAUAUCUAUAUUUAACAAAUUAAAAAUAAAAAUGUUUUUCUUAUUAAUUUAAAGUUUUAAAUUUAAGUGAAAGAAGGCAUCUAUCAAGCUUCCACAACUGAACACGUCAAUCAACGUAAAUAUGGUAUGAAUGUAUCUCAAUCUAGAAUACAUAUUUCUCAAAAAAAAAACAUUUCUCAAAAAAGAAGAUUGGAAAUUGUUUUCUGAUCAUGCUACAGAAUUUAUCUUCGAAAGAUGCCGAUGUCUGUAAUAUAUUUUUUCAAUUAUAAGUUGGUCUUAUAUAUAUUUCGACUAAUUCAAGCUGUACGUGAAAUUGUCAUAUUAGGUCAAAUAAGCGAAUUUCGAAAUGGCAUAGUGACAUCAAGGGCGACCUUUCUAUCGUGACUAAAAUUAUUUUCCAGAUUUAAAAAGAAGAUAUGGUAUGAUUGCCAAUGAGACAACUAUCCACAAAACACCAAAUUGACACAGAAAUUAACAACUAUAGGUCACCUUACGGCCUUCGACAAUGAGCAAAGCCCAUACCGCAUAGUCAGCUAUAAAAGGCCCCGAUAAGACAAUGUAAAACAAUUCAAACGAGAAAACUAAAGGCCUUUAUUUAUAUAAAAAAUGAACGAAAAACAAAUAUGUAACACAUAAACAAACGACAACCACUGAAUUACAGGCUCCUGACUUGGGACAGGCACAUUCAUAAAUAAUGUGGCGGGGUUAAACAUGUUAGCGGGAUCCCAUCCCUCCCCCUAACCUGGGACAGUGGUAUAUAAAGCAACUUGUACAUUUGUCAAUAACAUUUUGAAUAGUUUGAAUCAUCUUAAUUUUUUGUUUGCAAAUUUAGGGGUAAAAUUAUUGAUAUUAUCAUCCCAUUGUUCAUUUCAAGAAAUUGAAUUAUGUUGAAAUUGUAUACAAUAACUAUUUGGAAGCUGGGCCCGUAUACAUUACACAACUUAAGUUAAGAUAUCCAAUCGGAAUACUAAUUUAUCGUAGGACCUGUAGAAAAACCCGUUCAUUCGGAACAAUUCUUAACUUACGUGUUAGUAGAUUUAUGAAUGGUCUUUUAAUUAUAAAAUCGCUAUUUUAAUAUUGACAGGUGGCGGUUUAACAGAAACUCGAGAUCGUAAAUGUAUACCAUUCAUGGACUGUGGCUUUUCUAUAGAUAAGUGUCCACCUUUUUGUCAGAGGAAAGGUUGCAAUGGUUCACAGUCGAAAUGUGUUGGAUACACUCUAUGCUGCUGCACAGGAUGCGGUCAUGGGAAAUGACAGUUGAAUCCAUGCUGCCUGGUGUGAACUAAGGCUCCUAGUUAUAGACUUUGAUCUAUAACGGUUUACUUUUACAAAUUGUGACUUGGAUGGCGAAUUGUCUCACUGGCAAUUAUACCACAUGUUUCUUAUAUUUAUGUAAUGGUGUGUCUAAUAAAAAUGUAAAUGUG
Molecule: long non-coding RNA, 3463 nt
Filed under: Mytilus galloprovincialis (Mediterranean mussel)
Lineage: Eukaryota; Metazoa; Mollusca; Bivalvia; Mytilida; Mytilidae
Source: RNAcentral